GAUGGCAUAGCUUAGCACUGAAGUGUGUGCUUAGUAUGCACGAGGUCCUGGGUUCAAUCCCCAGUACCUCCA
RNAcentral lists this transfer RNA (72 nucleotides) under Camelus bactrianus (Bactrian camel). It matches the Rfam family "tRNA". From Rfam's summary of the family: Transfer RNA (tRNA) molecules are approximately 80 nucleotides in length. Their secondary structure includes four short double-helical elements and three loops (D, anti-codon, and T loops). RNAcentral also lists the same sequence under 2 other names. Lineage: Eukaryota; Metazoa; Chordata; Mammalia; Artiodactyla; Camelidae. The record is from Rfam by way of RNAcentral.